AUCAUGGUAUAAGCAGCAGUUAAAUUUCUCAAUGUCACUGAUUUCUUGCCGUUUUGGAAAGUGACAAUAAAUUGGCUACCUACCAUUCUUGACCUUUUGACUUUGGAACCUCUGCUGACCAAAUCUUAGCUUGCCUUGUUUAAGUCAGCAGCUCUGGUAUCACUCUGAUCCUCUCCCAGAGGGUCUGAAGCUUUCACUCACGCUCCUGAACGGGUAAGCUCCCCCUCUAGUGUUCACUGCUCAUCAGAUUAUUCCUCUAACAAAUAAGACAGAGAAUUGCCUGUUUUUUUUUGGUUCCCUAUCAAAGGACGGAGCUUGGGCCAACAUUUAUAACGGUUUAAUGACACAAAGAGGAAAAGAGUUUUUAAAGAAUACUUCGCUGAAAUGAUGCCAUCAGGAAGGAGACAUUUUUACCUCUGUCACCUAUCAACGUGAGACCAUAGCAGUCUGGAGUACGAGAAGAAACCCUGGAAUUUUGAAGAGAGAUGAUGAAAAG
Macaca mulatta (Rhesus monkey) is the source of this 496-nucleotide long non-coding RNA. RefSeq lists it as uncharacterized. NCBI's taxonomy places the organism in Eukaryota, Metazoa, Chordata, Mammalia, Primates, Cercopithecidae. The record is from RefSeq and is a predicted model, not a curated record.